Mustela erminea (ermine) is the source of this 91-nucleotide long non-coding RNA. RefSeq lists it as uncharacterized. The record is from RefSeq and is a predicted model, not a curated record. NCBI's taxonomy places the organism in Eukaryota, Metazoa, Chordata, Mammalia, Carnivora, Mustelidae. The transcript is spliced from 3 exons.
UGGGAUCCUUAGAAGCAGCCAUUGCUGUUGUUUAGAAACUUGCUUAGCCUUUUUUGCUUCCUUGGCAGCCCUGAUGGCCUCUUUGCUCCUU